Molecule: ribosomal RNA, 727 nt
Filed under: Bacillus thuringiensis
Lineage: Bacteria; Bacillati; Bacillota; Bacilli; Caryophanales; Bacillaceae
Description: bacterial SSU rRNA
Rfam family: Bacterial small subunit ribosomal RNA
Source: RNAcentral
AGUCGAGCGAUGGAUUGAGAGCUUGCUCUCAAGAAGUUAGCGGCGGACGGGUGAGUAACACGUGGGUAACCUGCCCAUAAGACUGGGAUAACUCCGGGAAACCGGGGCUAAUACCGGAUAAUAUUUUGAACUGCAUGGUUCGAAAUUGAAAGGCGGCUUCGGCUGUCACUUAUGGAUGGACCCGCGUCGCAUUAGCUAGUUGGUGAGGUAACGGCUCACCAAGGCAACGAUGCGUAGCCGACCUGAGAGGGUGAUCGGCCACACUGGGACUGAGACACGGCCCAGACUCCUACGGGAGGCAGCAGUAGGGAAUCUUCCGCAAUGGACGAAAGUCUGACGGAGCAACGCCGCGUGAGUGAUGAAGGCUUUCGGGUCGUAAAACUCUGUUGUUAGGGAAGAACAAGUGCUAGUUGAAUAAGCUGGCACCUUGACGGUACCUAACCAGAAAGCCACGGCUAACUACGUGCCAGCAGCCGCGGUAAUACGUAGGUGGCAAGCGUUAUCCGGAAUUAUUGGGCGUAAAGCGCGCGCAGGUGGUUUCUUAAGUCUGAUGUGAAAGCCCACGGCUCAACCGUGGAGGGUCAUUGGAAACUGGGAGACUUGAGUGCAGAAGAGGAAAGUGGAAUUCCAUGUGUAGCGGUGAAAUGCGUAGAGAUAUGGAGGAACACCAGUGGCGAAGGCGACUUUCUGGUCUGUAACUGACACUGAGGCGCGAAAGCGUGGGGAG